Molecule: long non-coding RNA, 13387 nt
Filed under: Homo sapiens (human)
Lineage: Eukaryota; Metazoa; Chordata; Mammalia; Primates; Hominidae
Description: HSALNT0032694
Source: RNAcentral
UUUUGAGACAGAGUCUCGCUCUGUCACCCAGGAUGGAGUGCAGUGGCAUGAUCUCAGCUUACUGCAACAUCCGCCUCCUGGGUUCAAGUGAUUCUCCUGCCUCAGCUUCCUGAGUAGCUGGGAUUACAGGCACACACCACCAGGCCCGGCUAAGUUUUGCAUUUUUAGUAGAGACAGGGUCUCACCAUGUUGGCCAGGCUGGUCUUGAACUCCUGGCCUCAGAUGAUCAGAACACUAAUAUUUACUGAAGACAAUGGAUACUUACCAAGGAUUCACUAAGUGGUCUUCAAAGCAUUUUAUAUGUAUAAACUCUUUUAAUCUUCACAUUAAGAUUAUGUAGUGGGUACUCUUAUUAUCUUCAAAUUAAAGAUGAGGAAACAAGUUUAGAGAAGUUAAAAAUACUGGUUGAAGUCCUACUGUUAGCAACGGUAGAGUCGCAAUUUAGAUAGUGGCUGUCUGAUUCUAGAGCUCACACACUUAACGUCUGUGCCAUGUAUAUAAUUACUAUAGAUUGCUUAGGUAAUCAGCCACCUGUCUGGGAAGCUCAGCUCUCCGAAAAUUUCUCAGUGAUAUCACAUUAUAUGCAUAUAACCAGGUGGCUCUGGCUGAGAAUAGAUAUAGAGUUUGUAAACAGUUUUAAACAAGGGUAGGGAAGAGAUUAAUACAUCGUACCUACAUCCUAUUCUUUGUCCUUCCCUGGAUACAUGGGAAGCCUACACUUCCUAGCUCUCUUGCAGUUAGGCAAGGCCACGUGACUAGCUGUAGCCAAUAAAAUGUGAGCAGAAAUGACUUGCAUCACUUCCCACAUAAAACAUGUAAGGGUCAGUGUGGCCCCUCCAUGUUCUCUCUUUCUCUUUAAGGUGACCAUGAAGUCCACAAGUUGAAAUGUCAGAGCCACAGUUUAGAAAUAACCCAGACCUGGAGUCGCUGACUGCAUGAAGGACAGAUUCCCGGAAGAAUCACUCCAUCCCUGUUGGAUUUUGUGUGAACAAGAAACAAAUCUGUUAAAUUAAGCCACUAAACUGCUGGGGUUUACUUAUGACCAUAACCUAGCCUGCCCUAUGUAGGCUACAGCGGCUUAAAUGCCUGCAGGGGUCUGACCAGCAGUUGAAAUGAAAUGAAUGAAGUAGCUGGGCAUGAGUGUAAGAGAAAAUACCCAGGCUGGAAGGGUGACUAUGUUACAUGGGAGAUGCAUGUCCCAUUAGGGGAGAAGAGCUGCUACUCAGAGCUAGUUCAUGAUUUUACGAAAUGAUUUGGAGCCAGCAUUGCAAGAUCUUAACUGGAGAUUUUUUUUUUUUCAAGAAAAUCUGGAAAUACAGAUUUUGAUGUGAAAUUCCCAAUUUUUAAAUGUUGGUAGCUAAUAUAGAUUAACAAAACAAAACAAAAAGAAAAGAAAAACAGACAUCCUUGCUAUUUCCCAAACAUCAUAGGCAUUGUUUCUGCCUCUUGCUGUGCCUCCUGCCUGGAAUACUCUUCCCCUCUAUGCCCACAAGCCUUACUUCUUCUUCUGCUCAGGUGUUUUCCCAAAUGUCACCUUCUCAGGGAGGCCUUUCCUAAUUACUCUUUUAAAAAUUGCAACACCUCCUUCUUUCCACCUUGUACUCUCUCUCCUUCCCUGCUUUUCAAUUUUUCUCUAUACUACUUAUCAUCCUGUAGAAUAAUAGAAUUUUAAAAAUUAUUGGCUGACUGCCCAUAUCCUCCCAUUAUACUCAAAGUAUAUAAGGGUGAGGAUUUUUCCCUGUUUUGUUCACUGUUUUUGCCAAGUGCCUACAGAGGGACCUGGCACACAGUAAGUGCUCAACAAGUAUUUGUUAAGUAAAUGAAUUUUUAAAACAUCCCACCCUGGGGGUCAGAAAAAGCGCAUCUGGAAUGUUGAUUCGAUGUGUGGACCAUUACUUCACAACUCGGGUUUCAGUCCCUCACUGAGCAGCCCUUGGAAAUUAGUGCCAUUUAGAGUGGCAAGCAGUUUCCUGCCUCCCAUGAAGUUGAUGUUUGAUUGAUUUUGCUCUGGGAAAUGGAUCACAGUGGGCUUUAAGAAAACUCUUGUAAAUUCUAGGGGGCCUCAUGCCUGCCUGUGUGCUCACAGAAUACUGUGACAGCAGUCUACUAUUGAUUUUGUCUCUACUGUACAUCCUAGAUUUGUUCAUACCCAAAUUUUUGUCUCAGUCCUGCCCUGUGAACCAGUCCUGGUCUUUAGAACAUGAGCCAAAAUGCAUUCCCCUUUGCUCAUUAAGUUGGUUUGAAUUGAGUUUCUGUCACUGUGGAUGGAGUUCUGAUCAGUAGAAUGUGACUCCCGACUGGCUGUUUUCUGUUUCUGAGUCAUAGUUUCCUCACAUAGAAAAAGGAGGGUGUAAGAUUAAAUAAGCACGAAAGUCUUUUCCGGGAUUCUAACAUUUUGGGAUUCUAACACAUUUAAGCCCCCCAACCCCAUCCCCACCCCUUCAAUGGAGGCUAAACAUUUUUGACUUUAGAUAAACUUGGUUCCCUGGAGCCACGUGGUACUCUCUGGCCUUGGUAUCACCAACCCCUCUGACUUAUGAUGUCUACUGCUCCUACCUCCUUUGGGGGUUGACUGCUCUUGCUAUAUGUUCGGGCCCUGCUCUUAUUGCCAGAGCUGCUUGUAUUUUACUUGUAGCAACUUCAGAUAUAGCCUCCAAUAUAUUUUUCUUCUCUCUGACCUCAACUCCUUUUUGCCUUUCAUUUGUCUCCCCGCACCCCCGCCCUUGGUCCCUGCCUUGCUAAAGUCAUAUCAAUCUGCAGCAUCAAGACAUUUUUAGGUCUUUCAGUCUAGGACCCUCUCAUGUCUUCCUUUCUCAGACUUUUCCCAUUUUUCUCGGGCAUGAGUAAGAAUCUUACUUUAUCAGCUCAAGUCAGAAAGCAACAUUACCUUAUUUUCUUUAAAUCAGAAUAGAAUCUGACUUCAGUCUCCUGUUGGUAGGCCUGGAGGGAAAUGUAAUUUCAGUCACUGUUAGGGAUUCCUCCCCUUACCCCUGAGUCAAACAAAGGUCCUGGGGACUUCAUCUAAAACCAAUCAUUUGGAGGAGUCCCUCCAGCUCAGGGCAUGCUGAUUACUGUGGACGUGCUCAUUUUUCUAGCCCACAUGGUAGCUGCUGGGCCCUACUUGGCCAUGAAAAUAAUGACAACGAUUAACGUUUAUGGAAUGUUACUAACGUGCCAGGGACUUGGUAGUGCUUUACAUAAAUAGUUUUAUAUGAGGCAACUACUCUUUGAUCUAGAACAUUCUUUUCCCAGAUAACUUAUGGUUCUCCCUCAUCUUCCUCAAGGCUUUGCCUAGAUAUUACCUUCUCAAUGAGCAUAUCCUGACCACCAGUAUCUGUGCCCCUCCCUUUCUAAUUCUGCUUUUCCCAGCUCUACUUUGUUUCCAUAACCCUUAUCAUCGUCCAGCAUACCAUGCUGUGUGAUUUACCUACUAAUAGAGUCUUUCAUCUGCCCCCCUCCCCCCACCACUAGAAUGUAAGUUCUGUAAGGGUAGGACCUCCAGUUUUUUAAUUCUUUCUUUCAACUCCUAGAAUAGUACCCAGUAUAUAGUUCAAUAAUUUUUUUUUUUUUUUGAGACAGAGUCUCACCCUAUUACCCAGGCUGGAGUGCAAUGGCGCAGUCUCGGCUCACUGCAACCUCCGUCUCCUGGGUUCAAGUGAUUCUCCUGCCUCAGGCUCCCGAGUAGCUGGCAUUAGAGGCGCGCACCACUGCGCCUGGCUAAUUUUUUGUAUCUUUAGUAGAGACGGGGUUUCACUAUGUUGGCCAGGCUGGUCUCGAACUCCUGACUUCGUGAUCCGCCUGCCUCAGCCUCCCAAAGUGCUGGGAUUACAGGCAUAAGCCACUGCGCCCAGCCCUAAACAUUUGUAGAAUAAUAGUCCUAGUUUUACAGAUGAGGAAACAGGCAAUAAAGGGAAGUAACUACCCCAUGUCACACAGCCAGCAAGUGGCAGAGUUUGGGUUCAAACUCAGCCCAUCUGAUUUCUUUUUAGGACUGCAUUCUUUCUGUGAACUGGCUAUCCUCACACUUAGACCUGGCUGCCCAGGGCACAUCCUAUAGCCACUCCUCCCAGAGGCCCUGCCGUAUCCCUGGGGCACUGGGAGGACACAGAGCAUAGGUCCCAAUCCUCAGUGAACCCAUGAAUCUUCCCCCUCUUUCAGCUCAACCCCCAUUCUUUCCCCAAAUACUCCCCACUUCCAGAAUAUCUAAUAUUAUAUCCUCAAUUAGAUUAAACUCUUAUUUAUACCACGAAAAGAGUUUAUCUUUUAAGAAACCCCUCCUGAGACCAAGAAAUAGAAGGGCUACUUAGAAUGAGGAGGUGGGAUAUCUGGAAAACAAAGCAGAAGUAGCUCGGAGUGUCUCUCUGUGUGUGUGUGAGAGAGAGAGAGAGAGAGAGAGAGUGUGUGAGCAUGUGUGUGAGUAUGUGUGAGAGUGUGUGUGUCAGUGAGUGUGUGUGUGAGUGUGUGUGUGAGAGUGUGUGUGUGAUGAGCACUCCAGGCUCCCUUUCCCAAACCAGCUGAAAGAUCCCCUUUUUCUCUUCUUUAAAACAGUUCUGAAAUCUAGCCAUGCCACCAAUACCUGCAGAAACAUUCUGGAUGGAACAGGCUUGCCCAGACCCUCCUCUCCAGAAGCUGGGCCCUUUAUGUUCCAUCUCUGAGUGAGUGGCAGCAAGGACCAGUGCGAUCAAAAAGGAGAAAGUGGAAUGCGACAUCACCCCCAAGGAGAGGAAGACCAUGGGCCAAGAGCUUCAGGGUGACCCAGUCAUAGGCCCGGGAGAGACAGAUCUGCACUAGAUGCUGUGCAGAGCCCUGACACCCAGAGCAGAUGCUGCUGCUGCGAUGAGUCUGGGGAUCAGGUGUUCAGAACCGCUGCUCGAGUGGUCCACUGCCCAGUGGGAGGAAGUGCUCUGAGGUGUAGAUCUCCUGCGUGGAUCACAGCCAGCCAGGCUUGCAGCCUUCAGGAUGCCUCACUCUCCCUCCCACCUGCCGGGUCAGCCUAGGGGAGGGGCCAGGAUAACUCAAAGUUAACUCGUGAUAAAAUACCCCCUAUUCCUGAAUGGACCUGGGUCUGGGGCCCUGUCUAGGGAGCUCCUUUCAUUUUGAGUGUCCCCAUCCUGGGAUGACAAGGGCUUUCCUAUCUGAAAGAGGGCAGCUUCGCUUAUGCUGGUCUCCAACGUCAGGGAGGGUGUCUCUUUGGCCUUAGUGUUCCUGGUGCUAGCAAAAUGCUUGCCUCUGGGUCAGGGCCCAGUCAAUGUCCCACAAACUAAGAGCCUCAAUAUUUGUGCAAGAGCUAGUGAAAGAUAAUGACAGAAAGUGAUGGAAUGAGUUUUAAGCAUGUUCAGUCCAACAGUCACACUGACCGUUGUUUCUGAAAGCAAGCGAACCUCCUGAAGCUGAGCGACACUGAUUUUCUCCCCUGUGAAACUACAAGACUUCAUAAACGCGAAAGCGUCAGACGCCCGAGGGCUGCAGGAGCAAAAGUCAGCCAGCAGGGGGAGCUCUACCUUUGCACCUUGGCUCAGCCCCAAGGAGGGCAUCCCCAGUCCCUCUAAUAAAAAAUAAAAUAAAAUAAAAUAAAAUAAAAUAAAAGCAAACAACUCCUGUUAUACUGCAAGAUGCAGCGAAUCUUUUUAGAAACAAGAUGAGAUAAUAGGUAAAGAAUACACAAAAAAUUCCCAAGCUGAACGAAAUCCUUCUAUUUGUGCAGCAGUCAUAGACACAGCCUAGCGAGUCCACAGCUGACUGCUCCAGCAGAUAACGGCUCUCCCUUCCAGGAAGUAUCCCAGCUCAGAGACUCACCCAGUGUAGAAAAGGAAGUCAUUCCAGGGAUACAGAAAGAGCAGCAGAGGCUCCGAGAUAGAUAGAAGGUGUCUGGGGGGAAAGAGAGAGACUAGGAUGAUUGGAAAGGAGGAUUCUUCUCCCUGAUCCAUUCCUCGAGCUGUGAAGACAGACUGGGAGACAGUACUCAAGGCAGGGCCUGAGGACAGUCACCCUAGUUGUGAGGUCAUCUACCCUUGCAUACUCAGUGUUCCACUGGCAAUAGAUUUCUGCCCACCCUUCAAAAAUUAAGAAGAAGCAAAACUGGCACUGCUCCAAUCCCACCAUCCCAUCGGUAGGAGAGGCCUUCUGGCUGGGUCCCUAAGGAUGUCUCUGGGCUUGUACUGUUCCAUUUCCACACUCUCUCAAAGUUCCUCUAGUGAGCCUAGCGGUCACCAUCAGGCAUGAUGAGGAUGUAGGACAACUUCAAAGGGUGCAGCUGGCAAUCAGCCCACAGGGAGCAAGAGUAGACCUUCAUUAGCCACAUGUUCUGUCACCUGCACUGGCAACUUGACAGAGAAUUGAAAUCUUAGCAUCAUUAUAUGGCGCCUUUCUCUAAAGCACUUCCUCGAGCUUUCUACUACCCAUACUCCAAAACUGGUCCACUUCCUAUAUUGUCAAUCUGCUUGAGUUAGUGUCAUCAUUCACAAAGUCAUGGAAAAAGUCACUUUCUAGUUAUUUUUUCACUGUUUUGCUACUGUCCACAGUCACCCAGUCAAGAAAUCCUGAUCAUUCUGCCUCUUAAAUAAUGUGUCUUCUCUCCUUCAUGGUAUCUAGUCAGGACUCAUCUGGAGGACUACCAACCUCUGUCUUCUCUAGUUCCAUCCUCAACGCUGAUUCCAGAUCAUCUAAAAUUCAUGUCUGAUCAUGUAGUUGCCCUGCUCAAAAGCCAUUGUCAGUUCCCCAGUGCCUGCAGAGCAUAAGGCUGCAUUGCGUUCAGGAAUGGCAUAGGGUACAAAUAAAUAAAUGAGUGAAUUAAUAAAAACACACAGAUAGAAAAGAGGAAUUGAGAAUAAGAGAGUUUUUUUUAAAAAAAUUCCAGUCAUUUGAGAGAUCACCAUUGUGAUCCUGUAAGCCUUACCAUGCCCUCGAGUUGAAUUCUAAUCAACACAAGGGAAUAAAAAUUAUAUUCAUACAUUUUAUUCCACUAUUUACUUAGAAAACUUCAUGCCACCCCAGCCAGUUAUCCGUCUCAUUUCCCUUAUAGGUUCAAAAGCACUUUGUACUGCUUCCCUAAGAUUUGCACUAAUGAGAAAUGAGGUGCCACAUGGUCAGUCUCAUGCGGCAUACCAGAUUGUCCCCAGAGGUUCUUUCUGUAGUUAGCCGGGUGAACACGUUUAACACAUUUUCUUUUAGCCAGAAGUGGGGAAAUGUUUCCUCUCCGUAUACAUGACCUUGCCAUGUACUCACCUUAGAAAAAUAUCUUUUUCUGAAUGCACACAAUGUUUGGCUUCUUAUAAAACCGCAGCUCCUGCAAUUUCAUCCUUAAUAUCUGCAGCUUGAGGGUGGUAGGUCCUUGCCGUUGCACUUGACAGGAGCUGACAAGUAGACACUUGUGGAGUCCCUGAUGCUGUGACUGGCCUGUUUCGGGGAUGAGGCAAGGAGGAGCUCGUUUUGUAUUUAUGCACCCAGGCAACCUUUGUGUUUACUGUCUCUUUGGUCAGCUUCCAAACUAGCAGCACCGCACCCGUUAACACAGGCUCCACGGCCAGUUGCAGAUGGGCUGGCCUGCCAGCUGUGAGGAAUUGUUACUUUUAGCUUGAGCAAUUGGUGGUUUCAUGUGAGGAGCAGCUUUACAAUCACACAUCAGUUUCGCCUGACAAAAAUCCUUAAUGCUCACUGAGGUGGUGAAACCAAAAGGUGUGGCACGUACUACUGAUCAUACUGUCUGCUUUGAUCUUGAGAGAUGGCUGAAUAUUAUUUACUCAAUCCAUUUAAAUUUGUUGAGAUCCUGUGUGUUUGUCAUUGACCAACGCUUCAGGAACCCAAAGAUAAGGUAUGGUGAGCCACACAGGUGAUAGAUUUGUGAGCAGGUGAAUGAAAUACAGAGCUAGAAAUCCUGAUCAUUCUACCUCUUAAAUAAUGUGUGCAGAAAGAAAGCCAGCAGGCAGGAACAAAGUGCUCGGGGGAGACAGAGGAGGUGGAGUACAAUUGGGGAAGUUUUGUGGAUGUUUGGUAUUUGAGCUGUGUGUAAAAGGCAAGGAGGAACAUUUUAGGAAGAGCCCGUGCCAGAUACUGUUCUUGAUGCUUGAGCCCGUGCCAGAUACUGUUCUUGACUCAUUGAAUCCUCACAACAUCCCUGUGAGAAGUAAACUAUUAUGACACCCAUUUUACAGAUGAGGAAGCAGAGGCUUGUGGCAGUUAAGUCACUUCCCUAAGGUUACAUAGCUAGUAAGUGAAGAGGCUGGGUCUUGAGAUAUUUCCAGGUAUGUCAUAAACGCUCAGUAAAUGCUGUGAUGAAAAUGAUAAUCAUUGAAUCCAGGGGCAGCAGCCUCUAAAGCCCAUGCCCUCAACUACUGUGUCAUCAUGACUCCAACAGCAUGUCAGAGAAACCUAUGUGUGGGCCUUACCUGGGAUCACUAGAGGCGUGAGUCCUUUUGCAGGGCACUCUUACAGUCCUGAGUUAAAAUCGGGAGUCUUGUCUAAAUCAUGCAGCAGGCAGAGUUGGUCUUUGGCUCUCACUGGUCCCAGGAGUGACCCUGUCUCCCUCUUCUGCAUUCCUUUUCUUUCAGGCUGCUUCUCCUGCUCUUUCCUCGCUUUUAAAAAAAUCUAUUUCUUAGUAAAAAAUCAGACAUUUUAAGUCAGAAUCUUAGAACUUGAAAUAUGAAAAAAACAUGGAAAUCAUUUAGUUCAGCUCCUUGAUUUUGUAGAUGCAAAAACUGUAGCUAAGUUGAUCAAGAUGCUUUUUCUUGCAAGUGACAGAACCCAAUUUAAAUUAUCUCAAGUGAAAAAGGGAGAUACAUUAGCUUUGGGGGGUGAAAGCAGCAUCCAGGAUUCAGGAAAAUGUCACUAGUUUAUUUGCACUUUCUCUUUAAUCUCAAAUCUUUUAUCUCUGCUUCAGAAUAUGAUGGCCUCAAUUGUUCCUGGUGUACUUGAAAUUAAUUUCUUUCUUUUGUUUUCUUUUUCUUUUUUUUUAUGACACAGGGUCUUUCGCUGUCACCCAGGCUGGAGUGCAGUGGUGCGAUCUUGGCUCACUGCAACCUCCGCCUCCCGGAUUCCAGUGAUUCUCCCACCUCAGCCUCCUGAGUAGCUGGAACUGCUGGUCUGCGCCACUACGCCUGGCUAAUUUUUGUAUUUUUAAUAGAGAUGAGGUUUCACCAUGUUGGCCAGCCUGGUCUUGAAUUCCUAAUCUCAAGUGAUCCACUUACUCCAGCCUCCCAAAGUGCUGGGAUUACAGGUAAAUUUCUAACCAGACCUGCUGCCAGAUGAACAAGUCCCCUGGGAAGGAAUCCCUUCUUCAGUCUUCAAGUCAAACUGCUUCUGUGCUAACCAAAGGCUAAGCCUGCCAGGGAGGGGGCAGUGCCACCUGCUUCCAAAGGCGCUGUGACAGCUCUUGUUUAUUGAAGAGGGCUGCCCAUCCCAGUGAAGUAAGAUAACCAGGAAUUUUAUUUCUGAGAGAGAGUAUCCUGGGCCUCCACAUCAAGGAGCAGGAAAGCUCAGCCUUGGCUUCUUGAGCUAUAUCCCAGGGAGCUGUAUCAGCAAAUGGACAGGUGGAACUCUGAUGCCUUCACCAAGAUGGUUGAACAAGAGAACAAGAUAGAGUUCUCAUCAGCUGAACAAAAGAAAUCAUGACAGAGACUAGAAGAUGUAAAGGCCUAGUUUCGGAGACAGAGACAAGUAAUUUCCCUGAAAUGUUAUUUGUGCCAUGUGGGUCACAGCUGAACUGCUGAGGGAAGCAUUUUCAGAACAUCACAGAGGGAAGAGUCAUGGGUCUAAACCUUUUAAAGACUACAUUUUUUAAAGGUCAACUGCUUUUUCCCUGGAGGGGAUCCUUGUAAUAGGUACUAUAGAGAAGGAUAAUUAAUAAUCAUGAUGUUGAGAAAGUGGCCUGAAAAAGAAAAAAAAAAAACUUGGAACCAGCUUCUCAUCGAAGAUGUGCCUCUCUCCCUCCCUGCAUUGCUGUGAUCUAGGGUUGCAGUGAUGCCCAGUUUUCCAGACCCUAGCUCUCACAGUCCGGACCAACUUGCAGCUGCAUUUCAGUAUCAAUCCAAUUUACAGAGCUGGAAUUACGUUGUAGCGGGGCCCACUAACAUGAACAUACAUUGUAAAUUCUUUUUCCUCCUAUUUGUAUUUUCAAUAUUCUUUGUUAAUUGUGAUAAUCCCUUAUGACAAAUGUGUGAUGUAUUUGCGUACCUCAGAUUGAGCAUAUGUCUGGUAUGAAACAAGUUGCCCCACAAAAAAUUGGGGAGAGGCCGGGCAUGGUGGCUCAUGCUUGUAAUCCCAGCACUUUGGGAGGCUGAGGCAGGUGGAUCACUGAGUCCGGGAGACCAGCCUGGGCAACGUGGCAAGACCCCAUCUCUACAAAAAAAUGCAAUACUUAGCUGGGCAUGGUUAGGCACACCUGUGAUCCCAGAUACUCAGGAGGCUGAGGUGGGAGGAUCAUUUGAGCCCAGGAGGUCAAGUUUGCAGUGAGCUGUGAUUGUGCCACUGCAUUCCAGCCUGGCAACAGAAUGAAACCCUGUCUCAAAACAACACAACCACACACACACACACACACACACAAAAUUGGGGUAAGAACAAAAAAUUGGGGGAAGAAAUUGGACAUAUGAGUUUUGAAGGCAUAACAUCUGCCUUCUCAUUGCUGAGACAAGUCAUCUAUUUUUAACUUCCAUUUUCACGUUAAGGAUUUCUCCCAGGCUAUCCUUCAAUCUCUACCAUCUCUGAAUUCCAAAGUUUUCUGUCCUUGCUCCUUGGGGUGUUCCGCAGCCUCCUGUCAGACUCUCCAAGGCUCCUUGUCUGCUGGGACUGUGCAUGCCCCACCGAGGCCACAUCCUACCAAUAUUGCAGCUUGGCUCCAGAAUGGAUUAGAUAAUUUUUGCUAAGCUCCUGCAGCUAGGUGUGUUUUUGUGAGGCUCACCCUAUUCUCAGAGUUGUGAAUCAUGACAGCUGACCCUUACUGAGCACGCAUAUAUGCUAGGCACGUGCUAUGCUUUUUAUGUGCAUCAUCUUGGUUAAUCCUAAUAAGAAGCUCAUCCUUCUCAUCAGCUCUGCUUUACAGAUGGGACACUAAGGAACAGAGAGGUUAAAUGACAUGCACACAGUUACAAAUCUAGUGGUAGUGCUGGAAUUUGAACCCAGUCAACCUGACUCCAGAAUCUGUGUUCUUGAUCAUGAUGCUAUUGAUGGGUUCCAGCUUUUAGCCCAUUUCCUGCAGGGUCCUUUGAGUUGCAGUUAAUUGGGUCAGGUGCAGCUGUACCAUGAGAUAAGAUAGGUGUUCAAUAAAUUCCACCCUAGAAUCAUUUGUUGAACAUUUACUGGGUACAAGACACUGUGCUCACUUGUAAACCUGGGGUGUGGGUUUUGGUGUGGAGAUGAAACAUGCUAUUUAGUCACUGAAAUGAUCAAGAAGGAAAUCCUUUUGUUUGUAAGAAUAGUAGAUCUGACCUGAGACAAAAUUGUGAUCUUUCUGUGUCUCAUUGUCUGGCCUUUCUCAAACCCUGACCCUGUCCUUUCUUCAACUUAGGAAGCCUCUUCUGCUUUUCCACCCAGGAUCUUCUCUCCAUGUUUCUGAACCCAGCGCUGCACUCAGAAACAGGGCAGGUGCCUCUCCGUGCAUCUGAAGGCUUUACCUUCAGACCGUCCAGGUGUGCAUACUUCAAUGUUUAUUUAGUUGCCUGCCUCUGGGGAGCAUCCCAGCCUCACUGAGCUUAUACCUUGGGACACCUUGGAAGGUGAAGGCAGCCGAGUCCUUAUCGUAGAGUAAAAUAAGACAAGAACUCUAAAGUGAGGAAAGGCCCCAAACUAAGCAACAAAAGGUGUUGUUUUCUUGAAAAUGAUGACGGAAAUAUUACAAAUAUUGAUUGGUUGCAGAGGUAAUACAUUUGUCAAAGCUCAUCAAAUUGUGCUAAGGAAUACCUUUGCAUUUGUCUGUGUAUAAAUUUUACCUAAAUAAAAGCUUUUUUUUCCUAAGAAAUAAAAAUGCCAUAGUGCUAAAAGGACACUAGUAAGCAGAGAGCCGUUUCCAAGUACAUCAUCUAAGAGCCAUUUGUUCAACAAAUAUUUAUUGAGCACCUGAUAAGUACCAGGGACUGUCCUAGAAUCCAUCAGCAAUGAGACAAAGGUCCCUGUCUCCAUGGAGCUUACAUGCUAGCAGGGCCCUUGAAAGUGGCAGGCAGAGGCGGGCGCUUUGGCUGAUUGUUUGCCCUGAUUGCUGAUCUCAAGAGGAGCAACUGGAAGCUCUAGUCUCAGAGGGGCUCAGUGAUUCAUGGAAAAGGGAGUUUCCUGAAUGUCAGGUCUAGGGUUAGGCUGCAGCCCAUGCUGAGGUCUGAAGGGAGUGGGUGGAUGAAUGGCAGAUAGCUGAAAGAACACUUAAGGAGCUGUAGGUAGGUGAGAUACAGCUUUAUUCAGCAGCUCUCUCAUCAGCAGCUCUCUUACACGGUCUGCUCUGUCUCAGCUGCUUGAUCUGGCUGCUCCCAUGCACAGCUGCGCUGCUGGCUUUCCCUUCAGGGUCAGCAGCUUAACUCUUUCUCUGUCUGGGCAUGAGCGGGCCUAUACAGUGUCAGCAGGGCAAUUAUACCUUUUACAGACAAUAGUGGCUUAGAGCCAAAUGAUGAGCCUUCCCAUGCUAUGGCUACAUGGAUGUGAUGACAAGUGGAGUAAUACACCUAUGCUCUAAACUUGCUGAAUCACUCUCGGUGUUUACCUGGGGCUAUCGCUGACCGAAGCAUAGCCAUGUUCCUUACACUGAAAAAGCCUCUGAAUGCCUAGGGGAAAAAAGUCCUUACAUGCUUGGGGGCUAGAGCCGCACUUUCCGGUGAGGCCCAGAAGAGUCUGCAAAUCUUCCAGCCCCAUCCCCAGUGUCUCUUUGUGGCUUGAGAGGGUGGCUCACCCACCGCCUUACCAUAUGAUCCAUGCCCUCUCCCCCCUAGCAAGGCACCUCCACCAGGGGCCCGGCUUCCUUCAGGCACAUGUGCCCACAGGGCAUGGGCUCUGGCAGAGGCCAGCAAACCUGGAGGCUGGAAGCUCAUUUUCUGAGCUCCAGGAAGGGCGGGGAGGUGUGGGUUCUUUUUGAAACCAGACCUAUGUGCUUAGAAACACCACAGAAGGGCUGGGCAGAGCCACUGGGGGUUGGAUGGGGUUGCUGUGAAUCAUAGGAACUCUAGGCUAGAAGAAGCCAUCUGAGAGGGGAGGUAGGUUCUUUUGAAGUCUCAAAAUCUUUAUUUAAAACAGAAUCCAAGAACCUUUGAUCAUGCAGCAAAGUUUAUGACAUUAUAUACGUAAUAAAGGACAAUGAAGCAACAUAUAAUCCUUGUUAAUUAAAAUGGUCUAAAUUACAUGUAAUCUCUGAAUUUACAAAGAUAGCACAAUGUAUGCAAUAAAUCCUAUUUCACAGUCUUUUUUUAGUAACAACAAG